RNAcentral lists this ribosomal RNA (254 nucleotides) under uncultured bacterium. RNAcentral describes it as "partial 16S ribosomal RNA". It matches the Rfam family "Bacterial small subunit ribosomal RNA", at positions 524 to 776 of the family's 1533-position model. The record is from RNAcentral.
UACGGGGGGAGCAAGCGUUGUUCGGAUUUACUGGGCGUAAAGGGCGCGUAGGCGGCCAGCACAAGUCAGUUGUGAAAUCUCCGAGCUUAACUCGGAAAGGUCAACUGAUACUGUGCGGCUAGAGUGCGGAAGGGGCAACUGGAAUUCUUGGUGUAGCGGUGAAAUGCGUAGAUAUCUGCAGGAACACCCGUGGCGAAAGCGGCGCGCUGGACCACUACUGACGCUGAGGAACGAAAGCUAGGGGAGCAAACAGG